GAUGAACGCUGGCGGCGUGCCUAAUACAUGCAAGUCGAGCGAACAGACGAGGAGCUUGCUCCUCUGACGUUAGCGGCGGACGGGCGAGUAACACGUGGAUAACCUACCUAUAAGACUGGGAUAACUUCGGGAAACCGGAGCUAAUACCGGAUAAUAUAUUGAACCGCAUGGUUCAAUAGUGAAAGACGGUUUUGCUGUCACUUAUAGAUGGAUCCGCGCCGCAUUAGCUAGUUGGUAAGGUAACGGCUUACCAAGGCAACGAUGCGUAGCCGACCUGAGAGGGUGAUCGGCCACACUGGAACUGAGACACGGUCCAGACUCCUACGGGAGGCAGCAGUAGGGAAUCUUCCGCAAUGGGCGAAAGCCUCACGGAGCAACGCCGCGUGAGUGAUGAAGGUCUUCGGAUCGUAAAACUCUGUUAUUAGGGAAGAACAAAUGUGUAAGUAACUAUGCACGUCUUGACGGUACCUAAUCAGAAAGCCACGGCUAACUACGUG
RNAcentral lists this ribosomal RNA (497 nucleotides) under uncultured bacterium. Its description in RNAcentral is "partial 16S ribosomal RNA". It matches the Rfam family "Bacterial small subunit ribosomal RNA", at positions 28 to 507 of the family's 1533-position model. The record is from RNAcentral.